Molecule: long non-coding RNA, 2483 nt
Organism: Heterocephalus glaber (naked mole-rat)
Lineage: Eukaryota; Metazoa; Chordata; Mammalia; Rodentia; Bathyergidae
Source: Ensembl
CUCCGCGCCCGGUUGACCUGCGCGGCCGGGCGUGCGAGGCCCCAGGCUCGUCCCGAGUUUGAGCUCCUUCGCAGGCAGGCCUUGGCCGACGACUCCCUUCCCCCACGCAACAAGAGUGGUUUUAACCUCGCGUGCCUCGAACAGUGUUUAGGGCUCCAAGUGCCAGGUUUCAGGAAACCUCAGCUCCACCAGAUACUUACCGUUAGUCGGAGUACACGCGGGGGGCGCCCAUCCCGCGGCUGCAGUGUUUCUCAGUGUGGCUUCCCGGACCCGCACUAACAGCAGCACUCGGGAGAGUGUUAGAAAUGUAGACGCCAGGACCCACAGCAGAUGGAUGUACAGAGAUAACCUCAGACUCUAGGGUGGAGCCCAGCAAUUUGAGUUUUAAAAGUCUUCUUGUUGAGCUUGGUGUGGUAGAGCAUACCUGUCAUUUCAGCACUUUGUGAUGCUGAGGCAGGAGGAUCAGAAGAUUGAGCCCGCCUGUAUGAUUUAAGGGAAAAAAAUGUUUUUUAAAAAACAAGGUCUUGCUAUGUAGCCUAGGCUGGCCUUGAAUUUGGGGCAAUCUUGCCUCAGCCUCCAGGGCUGUUAUUACAGGCGUGGGCCAUCAUACCCAGAUUAAUUUAUAUAUACGUGUAUGUGUGUGUGUGUGUGUGUGUGUGCGUGUAGGGGCUGGGGAUUUAGGUCAAUGCAGAGGCCUUGGAUUCAAUCCCCAGUGCUGCAAAAAUAAAGUCUUCCUGGUGAUUUUGGUGCACAUUCAACUUUGAGAAUCAUUGAACAAGUAGUGGUGGAGCUAGAAUUACAAUCUAGGUAAUUGUAAUUACCAGCACCCAUGGCCGCUCAUGGCCCUCUCCAGCCCUGUGAUUUUGUGAUGUAAUCUUGUGGGUCCUUGGUCUUGGAGAAGUGACUGGAAAGGGUUGGGGGAGCCAUUGGAGGAUUAACAGUUGAAUGAAAAUGAUAUUAUCUUCUAAUCUGGGACCUCAUGGUAGAGCUGAACUAUUCAUAAGGAGGCCAGAGAAGAUGUUGUGUGAGGGAGUCUAGAGAGAAGGCCAGCAGAAUGUUGGAAGAAAGGUUUGCCCAGCUACACUAGAAGAGGACAGGGAAGGUCGACAUUCCCUCAGGAGUGCAAAGGGAAGCGUUGCUCACUCUUGGCAUGGUCACCCAUCUCCCCAAUUUUAAGCAGCCAAGGAAUCUGCUCUCCUUCCACCAACUCCCUUUCACACUGGAGACUAGGAGGAGGUUUAAGCUUCUGAAGAGAUAUUUUCUACUGAGCUUCCUCAGUUUUCCUCUUUAGCCCUUUUACAGACUCUUGGGCCAUCCUAACACACUGUUCCAGCUGUACCUGUUCAUGUGACUUGCCUUACUCAAUGGCUCUUUUUUCCAGGACAAAGGCAUUUCCUGCUAAAGACCAUGGAACACUGCCCCUCAGUUCUCUUUUCUUGGGAACUAGAUGCUUCCUGUAUGGUUUGACCCUCAGACAUGUGAUCCAUAGUCAGGACCUAACCUGACUUGAGUGGGAGGAUGUUUAGUAAUAUUUUCCCAGGUACGAUCAAGAACAACAGAAAAGUAGCAUCUAGAGGCUGAUUCGUUUGAUGUAACUGGUUCUGAAAAGAGCAGCUGUCUGAAGAAAAAGAUGUCAUAUUUUUAAAUUUCAAGAAGACCUGCUGGGAAAUACAUGAUAAAACACUGCUUCACUUUAUUUUCCAUUCACAUACUAUAGUUUAACUUGACGUUAUCUGAAAAAGUUCCAUCACAGGUUCGUGGUACAAGGACACGGAAGCAUCGCUGCCAAUCUGACGACUGCCAAGUGGUGUUGCUUGGAGGAGGCCUAGAUGGAAUGACCAGAUGAGUCUCUCCAGUCUUCCUAACCAGUGGUCCUAUUUUAUUUUGAUUUUGCUGCCUUCAAUUAUGUCACUGUUGUUCCUUGCAUUUCAUUUUGCUAUGCCAAAAUGCUAUGUAAGCUACCCUUUGCUGGUGUAGGUUAUCUCUGGAAGGUGAGUUGCUGGCGCUUCUUGAGGGGCUCCGGGCCGCACCUUCCUCCGGAGUCCUCCAGCAGAAACCACCGGCCGGAGCUCGCGCCCUGAGUCCCGCGCAGGGACCCUACCUGGGCCACUGCAAGGUCACUGCGAGGCACCUGCACCACCGGCCCCAGGUGACUGCCCAAGAUUUUUUUUUUAAUACAAUCAAGUACUGUACUACUCUGCCACAAAGGAUAACCUUGAGACAUUUCUAGCUAAAUGGAUGCACUUUGAGACCAUACUCUUCAGUGAGAUAAAUAGGACACACAUAACUACCACAUUGUUUCCCUGGUGUGGGAAACUGAAAGUGAAAAUAAGGACCAAAAUGUACAGUAGAUAUUGGGAAAUGUUCAAGAAAAUGUUCAAAUGGGAAGGAGAACAAGGGAGGGGGGAGGGGGAAGGGAAGGAAGGGAGAGAAAAAAAUAAGAAGGAAAAAAUUGAAACAAAGCUUUUUUUGUAAAUAAGGAG